Molecule: long non-coding RNA, 2337 nt
Filed under: Arachis ipaensis
Lineage: Eukaryota; Viridiplantae; Streptophyta; Magnoliopsida; Fabales; Fabaceae
Description: long non-coding RNA (AIPA_LNC001447)
Source: RNAcentral
GAUUAAGGAAUUUUCUUUUAUUCUUUGGGAGAAGCGUCUCUCUCUCUCUCUCUCUGUCGCGGUGGAUUCUUAAAAUUUGAUAAAUCUUUUUCUUAUAGUUCUUUCUAUCUAUUAUCUUGUUUGUGUUAUGACUUUAUGAGUUGGAAUGCUUAUGAAUAACUGUUGAUUCCAAACAGAGACGGAUCUCUACCUAUUCUUCUCGCUUUGUUUAUUUUGCAGUAGCAACCUCUUCUUUCUAUCAGAUACUGCUUACUUUCACCAUAACGGCUUUAGGAUUAGCUGUGCUCCAUGUCACAAAGGACGAAAGGAGAUAUUCCUUUUAUCCAUUCCUUGUCAGGGAAGAUCUGAAGCAGCGUCAGCUGCACACGUCCUGUAAUGGAUGCAUACUCCUCUGGAGAAGAAGUGGUUGUUAAGGUCAGUUUAUUGCAGUACAUGGAAAUCUUUAACUUGUCAUGAUGCAGCUCUGAUUUUCUCUUGAAAGGAAAUUAAACGAUUUUAGUUUCAUUAACUAAUGAGAUAACUGGCAAUUGCAGACAAGAAAACCAUAUACAAUUACGAAGCAAAGAGAACGAUGGACAGAGGAGGAGCAUAAUCGGUUCCUAGAAGCCCUAAAGCUAUAUGGGCGAGCAUGGCAGCGGAUAGAAGGUAAUAUUUUACUCCCAACCGACGCCUAAUUUUUUAAUUUUUGUUUUUUGGCAUUUCACCUGAUGAAUAUGUUCAGUUUAGAUUGCCAAUUAAUCUCGAAAUAUAUCCGGACUCAAAAUUUUGAAAUUGAUGUCAGCUGCUGACUUUCUUUUUAGGAAAAAUAAAUAGAUCUUAACUGGAAACUCUUUUUUCUCCCGUCUUCUACCCGUUUUUCUUUUAUCGUGUUUUGAUUCUGUUGUGCAGAGCAUAUAGGAACAAAGACUGCUGUGCAAAUCAGGAGCCAUGCACAGAAAUUCUUUUCAAAGGUCAAUGGGUACCUUCUCAUCUCGGAUCAUAUGUUAGAAAUAUUGAUCCUUUUACAUGAAUAUAUGCUUUUUCUUGACUUGCUAUUGAUUUAUUUAGUAGUUUGGUACAUCAUUUAGUACACUUUAAUCAAUACAAUUCCUGUCCAUUGCCAUAAAAUAAUUCUGUAUCUAAACUGUUGCUUUCGAACUUGAAAGAUCUUACAUGAAAAUUAAGUAAAUCUGACAAAUUGACCAACUUUGUCAGGGAAAUUCAAAGCAAAAGUGAUUCUUUGAUGUUAAUGUUUUGUUCAGAAAGUUGUUAGCUCUUUUUUUUUUUUACCAAAGAUAGGAGACUCGAACCCGCAACCUCUUAAUUGAGUAUGGGGAGACAAUGCCAUUUGAGCUAUAACUCAUUGGCGAAAGUUGUUAGCUCUUUCUAAAGGCACUUGUGAGGAUGGUAUUGAAUUAUGGUUGAUGAUGCCUCCGGGGACCGUUAGAUGAAUUCCCUCAAUUCUCAUGCAUGAUCGCUCUUCCAAGCCUCCUCCUCCUCCUCUUCUUCUUCUUCUUCUCCUCCUUCUUCUUCGUCACCAUGACUUUGUUCCAAGGUACUUUACUGUUUGCUUUCUGUUUUCUCUUCUUCUUUCUUUAUAAUUUCUUUUUCCCCUCUUUUUGGUUUGGUUUCCGAGAAAAUAUAAUCUCCAGAAACUGAUAAUCGAUUUAUUCUUCGCCUUUUCGUUUUCCUCUCUUUGGUUAUGUUCACAAAAUAAAUUGCAGGAUUCGAAUACAUCAGGUACGCUGAGCUGAACUUUUCUGCUAGGAUAGUCUCUCGUUAAAUAUUCGCUACUACAAACAGCUGAACUUUCCUUUGCGAUUAGUUUUUCUCGGUAACCAAACAAGAGAAUGGAAAUUGUUAAUUAGUUUUUGUAGUGACAGAGAUAGUAUUAAUUAAGUGAUGUAAGAAGUCAGAAGCUAGAAGUGGUCUGAGAUAUUUACUAAUUAUAGUUGUUUCCACGUUUGGAAGGUUUCAGCGCUGUGGAGUUCGUUUUGGUGAGGAUUCUGAUUAAGGAAUUUUCUUUUAUUCUUUGGGAGAAGCGUCUCUCUCUCUCUCUCUCUGUCGCGGUGGAUUCUUAAAAUUUGAUAAAUCUUUUUCUUAUAGUUCUUUCUAUCUAUUAUCUUGUUUGUGUUAUGACUUUAUGAGUUGGAAUGCUUAUGAAUAACUGUUGAUUCCAAACAGAGACGGAUCUCUACCUAUUCUUCUCGCUUUGUUUAUUUUGCAGUAGCAACCUCUUCUUUCUAUCAGAUACUGCUUACUUUCACCAUAACGGCUUUAGGAUUAGCUGUGCUCCAUGUCACAAAGGACGAAAGGAGAUAUUCCUUUUAUCCAUUCCUUGUCAGGGAAGAUCUGAAG